AUUGAACGCUGGCGGCAGGCCUAACACAUGCAAGUCGAGCGGUAGAGAGAAGCUUGCUUCUCUUGAGAGCGGCGGACGGGUGAGUAAUGCCUAGGAAUCUGCCUGGUAGUGGGGGAUAACGUUCGGAAACGGACGCUAAUACCGCAUACGUCCUACGGGAGAAAGCAGGGGACCUGCGGGCCUUGCGCUAUCAGAUGAGCCUAGGUCGGAUUAGCUAGUUGGUGAGGUAAUGGCUCACCAAGGCGACGAUCCGUAACUGGUCUGAGAGGAUGAUCAGUCACACUGGAACUGAGACACGGUCCAGACUCCUACGGGAGGCAGCAGUGGGGAAUAUUGGACAAUGGGCAAAAGCCUGAUCCAGCCAUGCCGCGUGUGUGAAGAAGGUCUUCGGAUUGUAAAGCACUUUAAGUUGGGAGGAAGGGUUGUAGAUUAAUACUCUGCAAUUUUGACGUUACCGACAGAAUAAGCACCGACUAACUCUGUGCCAGCCGCCGCAGUAA
This 500-nucleotide ribosomal RNA is filed under the name uncultured bacterium. Its description in RNAcentral is "partial 16S ribosomal RNA". It matches the Rfam family "Bacterial small subunit ribosomal RNA", at positions 30 to 523 of the family's 1533-position model. The record is from RNAcentral.